This 232-nucleotide long non-coding RNA is filed under the name Elaeis guineensis (African oil palm). Its description in RNAcentral is "long non-coding RNA (EGUI_LNC025130)". The record is from RNAcentral. Lineage: Eukaryota; Viridiplantae; Streptophyta; Magnoliopsida; Arecales; Arecaceae.
AAAACCUUACAAGAUAUCAGAGAUAUUUAGAUCGGAUGUCUAUCGGCUUGAAACCCUUGAAGGACCGACGAUUCUUCGAACAUGGAAUGCCGACAAUCUAAAGUUAUACUAUCAGUAAUUCUUGUAUGCACUUGGAAUGCAAUACGACUUCAGAAUCAUAAAUCUUAGUCAAUUCCAACUAAUUAAAUGUCGGCUCUCACCGAAGAAGCCAAACGAUCAAUAUUAUGACCCA